CGAACUAAUACCGCAUACGCCCGUACGGGGAAGCGGGGGACCUUCGGGCCUCGCGCUAUCAGAUGAGCCUGCGUAGGAUUAGCUUGUUGGUGAGGUAAAGGCUCACCAAGGCGACGAUCCUUAGCUGGUCUGAGAGGAUGAUCAGCCACACUGGAACUGAGACACGGUCCAGACUCCUACGGGAGGCAGCAGUGGGGAAUAUUGCGCAAUGGGCGAAAGCCUGACGCAGCCAUGCCGCGUGUGUGAAGAAGGCCUUCGGGUUGUAAAGCUCUUUCGGCCGGGAAGAAAUCGCACAGGUUAAUACCCUGUGUGGAUGACGGUACCGGAAUAAGAAGCACCGGCUAACUACGUG
Molecule: ribosomal RNA, 352 nt
Filed under: uncultured bacterium
Lineage: Bacteria
Description: bacterial SSU rRNA
Rfam family: Bacterial small subunit ribosomal RNA
Source: RNAcentral